AUUUUAAGAGGUUAGUGAAUGCUGCAUGACUGUGAAGUGUUUAAAUAGGCGCGCGCGCUGAAUUCGCGCGCUCAUUCAAACGCUGCAGCGGAGGGAGUUGCCAUGGAAACGGUGCACACUGUCACUGACAAACAGUAAAUCUCCGUCUCUCGCUGCUGUUUUCACUGCUUUCAGAAAUGUUUUACAGUCUUCGAAAAAGUCCGCUAGCAUCUGUUUUCAGACGAGGAGUGAUAAUAUAAUCUUUCUACAAAGGAAGAGAAGCUCCAAGAUUUCAAAUUUCGGAAGGGAGCUGCUGACAGAAAUGCAGGAAACACAGUCAGAACAGAUGAUGAUGAUGAUGAUGAUAAUAGAUCCGGGUGAAGCAGGCGGUGGCACAGGGACUUUGAUGGUCAGACGUGGCGUGAUGGAUGAAGUGCAGCGUGCUCUGAUGACGGAUGACGGGAACCAGACACAUAGACGAUCCAACAAGACGUGAAACCGGAACACAGGAACUGAAGACGGGACACGAGGCACGGAAACAGGAUCAGACAACAUAGACUUCAUGAAACGAUCUGACAAAGGAGAUGAGAAGGUGGUAAGUAUUUAUAGGAGGUGAGAUGAGUGGCAGCUGGUGAUGAAGAGUGAUAGCAGCUGGAUACUGAUCAACGGUAACGAUCCGGACACACCCACUCACACACAUGUAAACAACAAAGCACGAGACUAGAGAGAGACAUUGGAUCUAUGAACCGUGACAGUAAUGACAAACCUAAAUACAUGAACGUUAAUAAUUUUAUUUUAAGAAAUUGUUUGUGUAUGUGUGUGUGUAUGUACCGUUUUCUUUUCUGCAUUUCACUUCUGCUCUAGCUUGCUUCCUUUAAAUAAAGCUAAAUAUCGUUGGCUCUGUGAUAAAUUGCAUAUUAUGUUUCCAGAUUAUGAUGGCCGUACAGCAGAGGAGCGCAGAGUCUCCUGUCAGACAACAUCUCUAAGUCGCUAUGAACCAUGUGACUAGAUCCUAUGUACCCAGCCUCAACCGUUCAUCAGAAGGACUGUGAAAGCGGGAACUCUUUGAACCACCAGUGGCAGUUUCCACGGGAUGAAAAAGGGCAUAGUAGUGGAUGAUGAGGUCCUGAGACCAUAUGGGGUGAAGAUCAAGACAACCAAACCAAAGGUGGACUGUAACCUACUGGACUAUAUGAUAGACUUCAUACUGACAUACUAAAUAGGGGCAUUUCCUUCACCAAGUAAAAGUGUGGAGGAUUCAUCUGGCCUUCAUCGGCCCCCAUGAGGAAAGGUGAGAUGUGCUUACCCUGAUGUGGAUACAAGAUCCUUAAAUGAAGCAGCUCGCAACAAACUCUCAAAUGAGCGCAAGCUUAGCAGCCGCAUGAUGUACUAAUUUUGUUUCAUGUCAUUGUGCUUUCACCAUAGUUUGUAGGGUAUAAAGAUG
Long non-coding RNA from Onychostoma macrolepis, 1423 nucleotides. RefSeq lists it as uncharacterized. NCBI's taxonomy places the organism in Eukaryota, Metazoa, Chordata, Actinopteri, Cypriniformes, Cyprinidae. The record is from RefSeq and is a predicted model, not a curated record. The transcript is spliced from 7 exons.